This 5662-nucleotide long non-coding RNA is filed under the name Sus scrofa (pig). Its description in RNAcentral is "lncRNA (ENSSSCG00025057520.1)". The record is from RNAcentral. Lineage: Eukaryota; Metazoa; Chordata; Mammalia; Artiodactyla; Suidae.
UGAAUGAAACAAGACAUCAAGCAUAAAUUCUAUAUGAUUCUAUUUACAUGGAAUUUAAGAACAGGCAAAACUAAUAGGUUAGCUUUCAGGGGCAAGUAUUGACUGGGAAGGGCACAUGGAGCCUUCUGGUAUACUGCAAAUAUUUUCCAUCUCAAUCUGGGCAGUAGUUAAAUGGUUAUAUGUCUAUGUAAAAAUUCAUCAAGCUGUAUACAUAAGAGUCUUAAGAUUUGUGCACUUUAUUAUUUGUAGACUAUAUCUACUAGAAGAGAAAAAAAAAAGUCUUGAGAAGAGACAUAAGCAUUUUGGGGUCAGCCUCACCUUUCCAUCUGCCUUUUCCAACAAAGGGAUGGAGACGGAGGCCAAAUGAGCACCAUCCAAGUCAGCUCCUUCUGAAACAGAGACAAAAAUAACUACAUCUCAAGUAUAAGAACAUACUUUCCCCUUUUUUUUUUUGGGAAAGGCACAGGCUUUUUUCACAUUACCAGCCAGAGGGAAUCUUUCUCAAACUUUCCAUAGAGAUUCUCCCUUGAGCAGGCACCAAACAUGGACAUUUUCUACCAGAGAAAAACAUGCUGGGGAGUUAUAAGCCUCUGGAACGAAAGCGUUGGGAAGGAAAUGAUGUAGAUCCCCCUCCCUCACCUGGGCUCCUCCCAGUCCUCCUGGAGCCAUGUUCCAGUGGCUAUAUGUUGUCAUCAGGAGAGUGCUAAUCAGAGGGACUGCAAGGAUGGAAGACAAGGGCAGGAGAGUGGACUGGGUCAGACAGUUGCCAGGGUCCAGUCCACACUGAGCACUGGGCCUUUCCCAUCUGGUGGGAAGAAAGGUUUUGAUUCUUCAUCCCUCAUACAAAUGGAAGAAAGUCACAGACAGCUUAAAAAAAAAAAAGGUGUUUAAAGCAAUGUAUACAUUGUGGACAGUGAACGAAGCAUCUCAAUUCUGUGUGGGUCUGUCCAUAUAAAGAUGAAGGAGCCUCAUUUUCCAGCUGCACUGCCUCCCUCCUCUCUCCUAGCUCCUCUUUCCUCCUGUCAUCUCUUUGUCCAGCUUCUUCAUUUUCCUUCUCAUCAUCUGAAAGCCUUGAGAACAAAUUUUUAGGAAGUACCUGUGUAGGGCAGGGUACUUGACAACUUUACCAGGAAGGUGUUAUUUUUCAGGUGAGGACACCAGCUUUAGGGGAGUGAAGUGAUUAGCUUGAGGUCAUGCACCUAAGAGAUGUCAGAGCCAGGGUUUGCAUCUAGGCUGGUGAGACUCUGUGUGGGCUCUGUCAUGGGGUUCAGUUGCCUUAAGUCUCCUUUUCUUGAGAAAGACAUUGCUGGAUUGUUAUAUCCUAUCCUGUCUCUCAAGAUAAGCAACAUUUUAGUAAAAGAUAUUAUUUUAUUUUAUUUGCUUUUUAGGGCCGUACCCAAGGCAUAUGGAAGUUCCCGGGCUAGGGGUCAAAUCGGAGCUACAGCUGCUGGCCUAUGCCACAGCCACAGCAACUGUGGGAUCCAAGGCGCAUCUGCAACCUACGCCACAGCUCAUGGCAAUGCCGGAUCCCUGACCCACUGAGUGAGGCCAGGGAUCAAACUUGCACCUCAUGGAUUCUAUUUGGAUUCGUUUCCACUACGCCACAAAGGGAACACCCUGAAAUACUUUUAAAAAUGAAAAUUAAUACAAAAUCUGUGAUGAAAAAUGUAAAUCUUUUGAAUAAAGACAGGAUCAGUGUUAGCAGUUUUUCAUUUUGCUUGGGCUCUAAUGUGACACCAUGUUGACUUAUUCCUCGGGUCCUUAUUUGGGCCCAUUGCUCUCCUUUGCCCAUGUUCUUGUCCCUUGCUCCUUCCGAUGGAUAAUAUUGUAUGCCCCCACCUUUCAUCUCAGUGUGAGUAACUCCAAAUUCUACUUUCUCCCAGGGCUCAAGGAGGAGAAGCCUUUUGUUUCUUCAAGCUUCUGUUCACUUCAGGAGUUUGGGGUACAUGUCUUGUGUUUCCACUGACCUUUUGGAAAGCUCCGCCUGAACUCUGGUGACCUAAAGUCAACUUUUCCUCAACUAAGCUCACCCUUCCUCCCAUCCUGUCCUCAGGUCUGCUCCUGUCAAUGUCAGCAGCAGCCUUCUAGUCACCCGGCUCUCCCCUCAUUCCUAUUUCCAACAGCCAAUCUGCUGCCCACCCUUGUUUAUUAUCAAGUACCUCCUACAACUGCCCUUUCUUAUCCAAAAGCCCAGACAGACUAUGCCUGAACUGGCACUUGCUUGGGGUGGGAAGGCACAGAAGCAAGAACUUAAGCAUAAUCAUUUGUCUGAGGACCAGAGCUGUAGUGAGGGGCGUAGAAAGGGAUGGGCUUACUUAGAUCUGUGCAGACAGGGCAAGCAGAGGUUGGAGAAAGAACUAAGCACCACGUUGUUGAAAUAUCUUCUCAAUCUUUGAUUCCAUAAGGGAACAUAUAGGAUGUUCCAUGCUAUCUUCACUUGCUACAUGUUAGGGAGACAAAGAUUGAAAAUCAUUUCAGUUCUUGAGAAGCUCACAAUCUGGUGGGAAAGACAGACCCACAAAUAAACCCCACAGGAGCAUGCAGUUUGGGGUAACUGAGGAGGAAGUCACCAACUGAAGAUGAAAAGAUGGGCUAGGAAAGUUGCCCAGAGGAAAAGAUACUGAGCUGAACUUCAGUGUUGAAUGAAGGAGAUGAUUGAUGUCACUGGUGAUGAUGUUAGUCAUUAUGAAGAAGAUAGUGAAAAUCACCAAGGUGAUAAUUAUGCACAGGGAGACUCCAUCAAAAAGAUGGAGGUGAUAGGGCUGAGGAACGCAAACCACCUUGGUACCUCUGAUGUAAUGGAUUGGGCAGUGAUCCCAAACCAGUCCAGGAGGCCACACUGUGACUUCAGGUGUCUUUUCAUAGUCAUGGCUUAUGAUUCAAGAUAUAGUGUACCAGGAGUUCCCCUUGUGGCUCAGCAGUAAUGAACCCGACUAGUAUCCAUGAGGACAUGGGUUCAAUCCCUGGCCCUGCUCAGUGUGUUAAGGAUCCAGCAUUGCUGUGAGCUGUGGUGUAGGGUCGAAGAUUCGGCUGGGAUCUGUUGUUGCUGUGGCUGUGGCAGGCACAUCUGCUCUGUGUCCAGAGAGCUUGUGGAAGAUUAAAAAAGGAGCUGUACUUCCUAUGCCCUUCCAGUUCUAGAAUCACUGACCUUGGUAACUGGUAACUCUAGAGGGGCUUUCUCUCUCCCAAUUGGUCUGUCACAUGCUUGAAGUCUCCCGAUUAACACAUCAUUUCCUUAGCUUGUCUUGCAUCUCCAGAUGCAAGAGUUGGAAGGAUAUAUUAAGGCAUUAUUACUCCCAAACACCCCAGCAUAAGAGUUUAACAGCUUAUUGUCUCCUGGGUCACUGUAUUUUAAUACAAUGAAGGAAAACCAGCUUAAGAGUCUGGACCAUUUCUCAAUGAACAGGAUUGGGUGAGGAUGUGUUACAGAAGGGUUGGUAGCUUUGGGACCCCCAAAGCUUGAGGAUGAAGUCUGCAGGUGAUGGGAUCUGAGGAAGCCACUCUAGGACUCCCUGUUGCUAAUUAGAGUUGACCCUGGGAUAUAACUUCCUGAAGUAUUGAUCCAAAAUUACCCUCCUAGAACUUUGGUUGUUAUUACACCAUUGCCUGGGCCUCUUGCCUUCCACUACCACCUCCUCACCCGCUACCAGUUCCUCCCUGGGUACCUUGCUAAUAAGCUGUGUCCACAAGGGUUCUUAUCUCAGGAAAGUCUCAUCAUAAGGCAAUGGCUCUAACUCAUUCUCCUUUUUCUGGCUUCCUUCAGUCCAAAUCAUUUGGGUACCUGGCCCAUACUGUUUGGGCCAUGUCUAUGAGCCUUGCCUUCCUGGUUUUAGUGUAAGUUCUCUUGUCUCCCCUGGUUUGCCUGGCAGGCACUGGGACAUCCCUAGCACCACCCUUUGUCAGAGGUGGAAGGUCCAGGGGGUCUUUGAGACCAAAAGAGGAAACAGAGGCCCAGAAAAGCUAAAGGGCUUGUUGACUAAAUGAUACUUUCUCUUCUUCUCCCAACUGAGAUGUACAGGGAGACAUUUUGUCCCCGUGAUGAUCUGUUCUUGGUUUAUUGAGAUGAUGAUGAUGAUGAUGAUGGCUCUUGCUAUGUGGUUUCUUGAGGAGUCCCAGGCCUUUGGCGUGUGUAAUUAGGAAACUUCCCGAAGCCUUUCUAAGAGAGAGACCCUAUGUCCUGCAUUUCAGGCAAACUGCCUUCGGCUUAGAGAUAUAGAGUAGUGGGGAAGUCGAAGGGUAGCAAAGUGAAAGGAGAAUCACAGAAGGGUUUGGAGUGGGGUUCAGUGGACACUUGAGCACUUUAUCCCAGCCUUGGGUUGAGGAGGGGGCAGAGAAUGCCUUAAUGAUCAACUAAAGCCUUAGUUGAACGUUGAAGGCAAACAGGAGUUUCCAAGGUAGGGAGAUAGGCAAUUGCCUUCACAUUCAGUGUACAACCAACAUCUGAUAUAAAGAUGAUACUUUUUUAUUUGGAAAGACAUUUUUUUCAUAGAGGUAUAGGAACAGAGUUUGGAGUCAAAUGGGAUUUAAAUCUUGGUUCCAUCACUUUCUUUGCGACUCUGAGCAAGUCCAUUAUACUUUCCAAACCUCAAUACCGUCAUCUGUAAGUUAUGACAAUGAGUCCCACUUCACUGGAUGAUCAUCAAACUCAAAUGAGGCAAAUUAAUUCUUGAUGUGUAUGUGCAGAACCCUUGAGAAAUGGUUGUUGUGGUGUUCACAUAGAGAACUUUUAACUUUCAUCAUUACCAUAUGAAUAUUGAUUAUUCUCUCACUGUGUUCAAGUGUUGAAUGAACCUCAUCUUGUCUUGUGCAUCCUCAUUUAAGAGAACAGGAGAUAACACUGUCCAGAACUAGAAACUCUGAGAGGGUAAGGGACCUGCCCAUUCCUAUCUUAGGUUGAGUUCUCCAAGAAGCAGGCAUUCAGGUGAAGAUAGGAGUGUAAGCACUUUACUUGAGUGGUGAUCCCAGCAAACACUGGCUGGAGAGCAGGAAGUAAGGCAGGCAAGGGAAGUCAGUCCGUGGAGGAUGUGUGUUCAAUCCAUUUACCACCGUAGGCAGCUGGAGCUCUCUCCCACCAGGAGUGCAGUGUAAAGUAAACAUCUCAGGAUAGAAAGCCCAGAAUUAAACCCACACACCUACAGUCAACUAAUUUAUGACAAAGGAGGCAAGAAUAUACAAAGGAGAAAAGACAGCUCCUUCAAUAAGUGGUUAUGGGAAAAGUGGACAGCCACAUGUAAAAGAAUGAAAUUAAACACCUCAUAACACCAUGCACAAAAAUAAACUCAAAAUGGAAUAAGGACCUAAAUAUAAGACCAAAUACUAUAAAACUCUUAGAGGAAAACAUAGGCCAAACAAUCUCCGACAUAAACCACAGCAAUAUCUUCUCAGAUCCACUUCCUAGAGUAAUGACAAUAAAAGCAAAAAUAAACAAAUGGACUUAAUUAAACUUAAAAGUUUCUGCAUAGCAAAGGAAACCCUAAUCAUAACGAAAAGACAACCCACAGAAUGGGAGAAAAUAUUUGCAAAUGAAGCAACUGACAAGGGACUAAUCUCCAAAAUUUAUAAACACAUCCUGCAGCACAAUACCAAAAAACAAACAAACAAACAAACAACCCCAUCAAAAAAGUGGGCAAAAGACAAUUCUCUAAGGAAAACAUACAGAUGG